This 2443-nucleotide long non-coding RNA is filed under the name Sus scrofa (pig). RNAcentral's name for it is "lncRNA (ENSSSCG00000062594.1)". Lineage: Eukaryota; Metazoa; Chordata; Mammalia; Artiodactyla; Suidae. The record is from RNAcentral.
AAGUAUAGUUGAUUUACAAUGUUCCUUCCAUUUCCGAGGUACAAUAAAGUGACCCCGCCACCCAUACACACCCAUCCUUCCCAACACACACACCACGGGAACCAUUUUUAAGAAAGUGUUGUCACCAGCAAUGCCUUCUCGCCACCGACAAUAUUCCUCUCUCUCAUCUAUUUCACCCCUCUCUUGUGUUCUUGCUGAUUAUUCCACCCAAACAGAGUCAAAAACAGCUAAAACUAAAGUAUAUCUCGGACAAUUUGCUACUUUAGAGCAACCUCUGAGGCUUUCUUUCACGGAGAGUGUCCUAACACUGAUGGGUCGUUUUGUUAUAAGGAGAGAGAAUGGCAGCCAGGUGUUGGGGGAUGAGGGCAGAGGAAGGAACGGAGCAAGAUGUACAAGCUGAGUCAAGACUAAAUAUAAACAUAGGAGCUUAUAUGGAUACAAAACGUGAGCUUCUAGCAGUGAUUCGACUUACGCCAUCUCAAUUCACCCUGGCUGGAUUUCAACUAGUCUAUUCUACAAGUACUUCCACAUGAAGAAGUAGGAAAUGAUACAGAUGAGUCUAAGACACAUGGCCUACUUUUGCUUCUCCUCUAUUAUACUAAUCAUCCCUAAAUAUGAUUUAUCAAUCCCUUUUAUGCCAGAGAGCCCUUUUGAUUCCUCUUAAAAGCCAUCUCAUGGAAAACUCAGUAAUUAAUGUUUGGAAGCAAUGCUAGAGUCAGAAGGUCACAGUGUCACAUAUACUUUCCUUCAAUACAUUAGGUAUGUUUCUAUACAUCCUGCUGUUCAGCAUGAGCAACAGGACAGCAAACUUGAAACGACAAAAAUAAAACAUACAGAAAAUACAGUAGGUGCAAGAUCAGAGAUGAAUGUUAUAUUUCAUCCCAAACACUAUCAGCACUGAUAAAUUUCCCUUAGUGUACUCAGGUCUAAACAGUUGCGGGUUCGAUCCCUGGCCUUGUUCAGUGGGUUAAGGAUCCGGCGUUGCCAUGAGCUGUGGUGUAGCUCGCAGACGCAGCUCAGAUCCUGAGUGGCUGCGGCUGUGGUGUAGGCUGGCGGCUACAGCAUCGAUUCCACCCCUAGCCUGGGAACCUCUAUGUGCUGCUGGAGCAGCCCUAGAAAAGGCAAAAAGACAAAAGAAAAGAAAGAAAAGAAAAGAAAAUCCCACAUACAAGCACAUCUCUACCAAGGCUGAAGAUAUUACAAAUGUAAAACUGAACUUAUAACAUUCUGUAAGAAUAGUUUGUAAUCCAUCCGUUCUCAUCUGUCAAUCCUAACUUGCCCCAAACUUCAUUCUUAGCCUUUCCAAUUGCAUGGGCUCAAUUUCACGUCCCACACCACUAUGUAUCAGCUAAGUAAGCAUGCACAAACUGUGGUUUUCAUACCUACCAACCUGGGAUAAGAGCAGGCUGAUGUGUCAUAAGCACAUUUCUGGUAUGACUCUCUGUGAUUUAUUAAAACCAGCUUACUGUUUUGGUGAUUUUGUUUGCCCAUUUAUUGUAUAAUAUCUUUGAUAUGAUGAUUUAUCUUCUAAAAUUACUUAAAGGAAACAACUUUUCACUAGCUUUUUAAAUUCUUUCUUCCUCCUUGUUUGAAAUACUGGAAGAUAUACUGAACUCCUAUCUCUAAAUCAGUUGAGAAAUAUACUGCUCAACUACUAAUAAAAUAAAUACUUAUCAGGUAACUAAGGUUUUUUUAAAUGAUGAUAGGAUCACUUAAACUAAUAAAAAGAAAAUGCUGAAAUGCUUUAUAAAUUCCAAAAGUACAUCCCAGUUACAUAAUAGAAUCUGAGGUGCAGGAGAAAAACCAACAACAUGGCACCAUUCAGAUAAUCAAUAAGAGGGAGAUAAAGUGAUUUUUACAAAAGGCCAAUGAUUUGAAGCCAUAUUUCAGAAAUUAUAUUUUCAUUUUAAAAUUAAGACCCUUAAUUAUGCUUAAAAACAUAAGACACUUAAAAUGCUUAAAAAUACAUGGAAAAUUUGAUUUCUAAAUACACAUUUUUUAAAGUAUUUUAUAAAUAUAAGAAAAAUUUUUAUUAAACCUGAAGUUACAUACAUUUCUUAACUUACCAGCCAGCUUUGCUGCAUUCAAGUCUUAAAUGUAAUUUUCAUCUACAUUCUAAAAUCUCCAUCUGUAAGUCUACAUUUAUCUGUAGAUAUAACAAAUAUUACUUGUUAGAGCCUCUAAAUAUUAAAAAUAGAAGCUGAAAAUUCCCCUCUAGCUCGAUCAUUCCAUGAUUCUAGAAUAUCUAAGUCUAUGAAAAUCCAACACACUUGAUGGUUGAUGGAGAAGCAACAUGGACAAUGAUAAUCAAAGAACCUCACUACCUUUAGGACCAUAACUUUAAAAUAACUUUGAAAGCAUUCAUUAAAAACUAAUCAGAAAUAGGAAUGGCUCAGUGAGUUGAGUAUUUAGUGUUGUCACUGCAAUGGCUCCGGUCACUGCU